UACGUAGGGUGCGAGCGUUAAUCGGAAUUACUGGGCGUAAAGCGUGCGCAGGCGGCUUUGCAAGACAGAUGUGAAAUCCCCGGGCUUAACCUGGGAACUGCAUUUGUGACUGCAUGGCUGGAGUGCGGCAGAGGGGGGUGGAAUGCCGCGUGUAGCAGUGAAAUGCGUAGAGAUGCGGCGGAACACCGAUGGCGAAGGCAGCCCCCUGGGCUGAGAUUGACGCUCAGGCACGAAAGCGUGGGGAGCAAACAGG
Molecule: ribosomal RNA, 253 nt
Filed under: uncultured bacterium
Lineage: Bacteria
Description: partial 16S ribosomal RNA
Rfam family: Bacterial small subunit ribosomal RNA
Source: RNAcentral